This 1089-nucleotide ribosomal RNA is filed under the name Salmonella enterica subsp. enterica serovar Infantis. Its description in RNAcentral is "partial 23S ribosomal RNA". The record is from RNAcentral. Lineage: Bacteria; Pseudomonadati; Pseudomonadota; Gammaproteobacteria; Enterobacterales; Enterobacteriaceae.
UUAGUGUUAGUGGAAGCGUCUGGAAAGGCGCGCGAUACAGGGUGACAGCCCCGUACACAAAAGCGCAUGUGCUGUGAGCUCGAUGAGUAGGGCGGGACACGUGGUAUCCUGUCUGAAUAUGGGGGGACCAUCCUCCAAGGCUAAAUACUCCUGACUGACCGAUAGUGAACCAGUACCGUGAGGGAAAGGCGAAAAGAACCCCGGCGAGGGGAGUGAAAAAGAACCUGAAACCGUGUACGUACAAGCAGUGGGAGCCCCACCACCAAAGCAUUCUCUGGUGUUGAAGGCCCUGCAAAGCAGCAUCGCGGUGGCGGAGCGUCGUUUGCGACGCCCAACACACAAAACAAGCGGUGAGUGCUUUGGGGUGGGGUGACUGCGUACCUUUUGUAUAAUGGGUCAGCGACUUAUAUUCUGUAGCAAGGUUAACCGGAUAGGGGAGCCGGAGGGAAACCGAGUCUUAAYYGGGCGUUAAGUUGCAGGGUAUAGACCCGAAACCCGGUGAUCUAGCCAUGGGCAGGUUGAAGGUUGGGUAACACUAACUGGAGGACCGAACCGACUAAUGUUGAAAAAUUAGCGGAUGACCUGUGGCUGGGGGUGAAAGGCCAAUCAAACCGGGAGAUAGCUGGUUCUCCCCGAAAGCUAUUUAGGUAGCGCCUCGUGAAUUCAUCUCCGGGGGUAGAGCACUGUUUCGGCUAGGGGGCCAUCCCGGCUUACCAACCCGAUGCAAACUGCGAAUACCGGAGAAUGUUAUCACGGGAGACACACGGCGGGUGCUAACGUCCGUCGUGAAGAGGGAAACAACCCAGACCGCCAGCUAAGGUCCCAAAGUCAUGGUUAAGUGGGAAACGAUGUGGGAAGGCCCAGACAGCCAGGAUGUUGGCUUAGAAGCAGCCAUCAUUUAAAGAAAGCGUAAUAGCUCACUGGUCGAGUCGGCCUGCGCGGAAGAUGUAACGGGGCUAAACCAUGCACCGAAGCUGCGGCAGCGAGAUGGGAAACGGGUUAAGGUUAAUAUUCCCGUACUUGGUGUUACUGCGAAGGGGGGACGGAGAAGGCUAUGUUGGCCGGGCGACGGUUGUCCCGGUUUAAGCG